RNAcentral lists this ribosomal RNA (280 nucleotides) under Bartonella henselae. Its description in RNAcentral is "partial 16S ribosomal RNA". It matches the Rfam family "Bacterial small subunit ribosomal RNA", at positions 1010 to 1290 of the family's 1533-position model. The record is from RNAcentral. Lineage: Bacteria; Pseudomonadati; Pseudomonadota; Alphaproteobacteria; Hyphomicrobiales; Bartonellaceae.
CUCCUUCAGUUAGGCUGGAUCGGAGACAGGUGCUGCAUGGCUGUCGUCAGCUCGUGUCGUGAGAUGUUGGGUUAAGUCCCGCAACGAGCGCAACCCUCGCCCUUAGUUGCCAGCAUUUGGUUGGGCACUCUAGGGGGACUGCCGGUGAUAAGCCGAGAGGAAGGUGGGGAUGACGUCAAGUCCUCAUGGCCCUUACGGGCUGGGCUACACACGUGCUACAAUGGUGGUGACAGUGGGCAGCGAGACCGCGAGGUCGAGCUAAUCUCCAAAAGCCAUCUCA